CGCGUAGGCUCAUUAUUUAGGGUUCCAGGCGGGAAGAAUUAUCACUGGAGACUGAGAAGUGACCACAGUUCUGAAAGCCCAGGCGCUAGAGGUGGAUCUGGCUCCUCCAGAUUCGCCGGCUUCUCCCGCACAGAUGCGGGCUCACGCUCCCCAGCUCUCAAGGCGUGGGUCUCCAGUGCGUGGGAGUCUGGCCCAUCCUCCGGGACUGGCUGGAGUUUAGCAGCUUUCCCACCGCACUUCGCAUCUGAAGCUUGAAUCUCCUAGGAGGCGAAUCCCUGCGGCCAGGAGCUCAGCCCCGCCCAGAUGGGGGAAACCUCUUCAUUUGCAUACGAAAAGCUAGAGGUGCCUCCAGCAGGCUGCCUUCUGGAACGGAGCGACCAGACCGGGAGCGGACAGUCUCAAGCGUCAGCCCCACCCACCUCCCCUCAGUCCAUCUAAACUGCUCUUUUCUCCUGCGUACACCCCUCAUCUCCUACAAGAGUACUGCUACUGGGAACCGAAUCUCUGUCUCCCACAAGCUAAGCAUGAAGUCUCCACCAAGCUCCAACCGGACUGGGAGACGAGACAUUUUACAACAUAGCUGCUGCCAGAAGCCUGUAUCUCCAGGGUCCCAUUGUCUGCACAUCUCCAAAUAAAUGGAAACACAACAAGACAGCUGGUUGCUUUUGCUCAACUUCUAACUUUAAUAACCCUAUGAAAUUUCUGAAGUGGUUUUUAGUUUACCCAAUCCACAACAGAAAAAGUCAUUUGAGACAGUUUAUUAGGACAGAGUUCUUGGGCAAAUCACCAAAUUCGGACAUUUCUUUUGCUCCCUGGGAAAAUUAUAGCUGACACAAACUUGCCUGCAAGAUACGUCCUUCCUGUACAAGCAUAGUAUUUGAUUCCCC
Molecule: long non-coding RNA, 887 nt
Filed under: Mus musculus (house mouse)
Lineage: Eukaryota; Metazoa; Chordata; Mammalia; Rodentia; Muridae
Description: predicted gene, 31683
Source: RNAcentral